RNAcentral lists this long non-coding RNA (899 nucleotides) under Nicotiana tabacum (common tobacco). Its description in RNAcentral is "long non-coding RNA (NTAB_LNC012240)". The record is from RNAcentral. Lineage: Eukaryota; Viridiplantae; Streptophyta; Magnoliopsida; Solanales; Solanaceae.
AACAAUCCUCCCAUGUAGCUCGAUCAGGUGGCAACUAGUCCCAUUGCACUAGAACCUGAGAAACAACCUUAUUUCCUUUUUGGAUCAUGCACCUCUCCAGAAUCUUGUAUGGCUGGGGACAGUAAGGACUUGACAGUUCAACUAUGGGAGAAUGAGAUGUUUUUUCUGGUAGCUCAUGGAAUUUCUUGAGCUGAGAGACGUGAAACGUUGGGUGCAGUACUAGCUGGGGAGGAAGAGAGAGUUUGUAGGCAACAUUUCCCACUUUUUGUAGUACCUAAUAGGGCCAUAACAUUUAACAGAAAGCUUAGAAAAUUGUCCUCCUAACAUAGAGAUUUGCCUGUAAGGUUGGAUUUUAACAUACACCCAAUCACCCUCUUUGAAUUGUCUAUCCGAUCUAUGUUUAUUGGCUUGGUUCACCAUUCUCUGUUGAGCCCUCUUGAGGUGAUAUUUCAGAAGAUAUACUUUGAACUCCCUCGUGAACAGGCUUCUAUCCACUUCCUCCAUACUUGAGUCUCUAGCAGCAUAAGGCAAGUGCAAAGGAGGGGUUAGCCAUAUAAUGCUUCAUAUGGUGUACAAUGUAUGGAAGAGUGAAAGAUAGUAUUGUACCACCACUCAGCUGCUCCCAAGUAGUGCAUCCAGUCCUUUUGGGAAUCGGAACAGAAACAUCUCAAGUAAGUCUCCACACACCUAUUAACUACCGCAAUUUGGCUAUUUGUUUGAGGAUGGUAGGCUGUUGAGGUAUUGAAGGUUACUCCUAACAUGGAAAACAAUUCUUGCCAAGCCCAAAUAUCACUGCUGCCUAUAGGAAACACUAGAAAAUUAUCUUGAAACACUGCACCUUGCAUGAGCCACUGAAAUCCUUUACACAUUUUCGCUGUAGGUACCUCUUUAUCAUCAGC